RNAcentral lists this ribosomal RNA (511 nucleotides) under uncultured bacterium. RNAcentral describes it as "bacterial SSU rRNA". It matches the Rfam family "Bacterial small subunit ribosomal RNA", at positions 36 to 518 of the family's 1533-position model. The record is from RNAcentral.
CUGGCGGCGUGCCUAAUACAUGCAAGUCGAACGGUCUUUUCUAUGGAAGCUUGCUUCCACUGAGAAGAUAGUGGCGAACGGGCGAGUAACACGUGGGUAACCUGCCCAUAAGAGGGGGGAUAACAUCCGGAAACGGGUGCUAAUACCGCAUAGUUUUCUUGAUCGCAUGAUCGGGAAAGGAAAGACGGCCUUUGUGCUGUCGCUUAUGGAUGGACCCGCGGCGUAUUAGUUAGUUGGUGAGGUAACGGCUCACCAAGACGAUGAUACGUAGCCGACCUGAGAGGGUGAUCGGCCACAUUGGGACUGAGACACGGCCCAAACUCCUACGGGAGGCAGCAGUAGGGAAUCUUCCGCAAUGGACGAAAGUCUGACGGAGCAACGCCGCGUGAGUGAAAGAAGGUUUUCGGAUCGUAAAACUCUGUUGUCAGAGAAGAACAAGUUGGAGAGUAACUGCUCCAGCCUUGACGGUAUCUGACCAGAAAGCCACGGCUAACUACGUGCCAGCCGCCGC